This 169-nucleotide ribosomal RNA is filed under the name Pluteus sp. Its description in RNAcentral is "partial large subunit ribosomal RNA". It matches the Rfam family "Eukaryotic large subunit ribosomal RNA", at positions 99 to 261 of the family's 3401-position model. The record is from RNAcentral. Lineage: Eukaryota; Fungi; Basidiomycota; Agaricomycetes; Agaricales; Pluteaceae.
CGGGAAAAGCUCAAAUUUAAAAUCUGGCAGUCUCUGGCUGUCCGAGUUGUAAACUAGAGAAGUGUUAUCCGUGCUGGACCAUGUAUAAGUCUCCUGGAACGGAGCGUCAUAGAGGGUGAGAAUCCCGUCUUUGACAUGGACUACCAGUGCAUUGUGAUGCGCUCUCAAA